AUUGAACGCUGUCGGCAGGCCUAACACAUGCAAGUCGAGCGAGCGGCGGACGGGUGAGUAAUGUCUGGGAGACUGCCCGAUGUAGGGGGAUAACUACUCUAGACCGUAUCUAAUACCGCAUACCCUCAGAUGUGCCCAGAUGGGAUUAGCUCGUGGGGGGGGUAACGGCUCACCUCGGCGACGAUCCCUAGCUGGUCUGAGAGGAUGACCAGCCACACUGGAACGGAGACACGGGCCAGACUCCUACGGGAGGCAGCAGUGGGGAAUAUUGAACAAUGGGCGCAAGCCUGAUGCAGCCAGGCCGCGUGUGUGAAGAAGGCCUUCGGGUUGUAAAGCACUUUCAGCGGGGAGGCGUUACCCGCAGAAGAAGCACCGGCUAACUCCGUGCCAGCCGCCGCGGUAAUUC
RNAcentral lists this ribosomal RNA (406 nucleotides) under uncultured bacterium. RNAcentral describes it as "partial 16S ribosomal RNA". It matches the Rfam family "Bacterial small subunit ribosomal RNA", at positions 30 to 526 of the family's 1533-position model. The record is from RNAcentral.